AACGAACGCUGGCGGCGUGUCUUAAGCAUGCAAGUCGAGCGGCAAGCAGUAGCAAUACUGCCUAGAGCGGCGGACUGGUGAGUAACGCGUGGGUGAUCUGCCCUUGGGAUGGGGAUAGCCGUUAGAAAUAGCGGGUAAUACCGAAUACGUUCGUCGGACUACGGUCCGAUGAAGAAAGGCGCUUUGGCGCCACCCGAGGAUGAGCCUGCGUCUCAUUAGCUAGUUGGUGGGGUAAAAGCCUACCAAGGCGAUGAUGAGUAGCCGGCCUGAGAGGGUGUACGGCCACACUGGGACUGAGAUACGGCCCAGACUCCUACGGGAGGCAGCAGCUAAGAAUAUUCCGCAAUGGACGAAAGUCUGACGGAGCGACGCCGCGUGGACGAUGAAGGCCGUGAGGUUGUAAAAUCCUUUUGCUGGGGAAGAAUAACCAUGGGAGGGAAUGCCCGUGGGAUGACAUGAACCGGCGAAUAAGCCCCGGCUAACUACGUGCCAGCAGCCG
RNAcentral lists this ribosomal RNA (499 nucleotides) under uncultured bacterium. RNAcentral describes it as "bacterial SSU rRNA". It matches the Rfam family "Bacterial small subunit ribosomal RNA", at positions 29 to 517 of the family's 1533-position model. The record is from RNAcentral.